GAAAUUCUUGACAAUACCGUCCGGUAUGGGCUAAUUUUACUAUUUGAAAUGAACGUUCUCGAGCAUGCGCAGUUCCGCAUUGUUGUUCCUCUUUGCCGCUUCGAAGAUGGUAGUGGGUAACAGAAAGCCACGAUACAGAAAUGGUCUACCAGUAUUUGACAGGAGAGGGCCUAGGUACAGUAGGACUAGCUUUCUAACUUGUAUGUCAGAGGGAUGACCCUAGUAAAAAGGUCUGACAUUCCAUACCUGAUAAUGAAAGAAAACACCAGAAACUAUUUACUGAGGAACAAUGAUAAACAAGUGAACUGAUGGUUUAAAACUACCAAAAUGUGAAGUAAUGAACAAAAGAGUAACGUGAAGUCAGACAAUACAACCUGAGGUGUCAGAAUUUGUGCAAAAUUUUGUUAUUUGCAGAUAUAUGGAUGGAUUUUGUCAAAAUAUGACCUGAAACACUGGGAUAAAAUUAUGUUAUUUUUUUCGUAGAAAAGAUCCGGUUGUGUUCCAUAAAUGUAUUUCUAAAAAAUAAUGAGUUUAAGAAUUAAAAUCUAUAUUUGUU
Long non-coding RNA from Mytilus trossulus (common blue mussel), 556 nucleotides. RefSeq lists it as uncharacterized. The record is from RefSeq and is a predicted model, not a curated record. The transcript is spliced from 3 exons. NCBI's taxonomy places the organism in Eukaryota, Metazoa, Mollusca, Bivalvia, Mytilida, Mytilidae.